GAUGAACGCUGGCGGCGUGCCUAAUACAUGCAAGUCGAGCGAACAGACGAGGAGCUUGCUCCUCUGACGUUAGCGGCGGACGGGUGAGUAACACGUGGAUAACCUACCUAUAAGACUGGGAUAACUUCGGGAAACCGGAGCUAAUACCGGAUAACAUGUUGAACCGCAUGGUUCAACAGUGAAAGACGGUCUUGCUGUCACUUAUAGAUGGAUCCGCGCCGCAUUAGCUAGUUGGUAAGGUAACGGCUUACCAAGGCAACGAUGCGUAGCCGACCUGAGAGGGGGAGGGGGACAACCGGAAGGGGACCGGGGUCCAGCCCACAAGGGGAGGGGAGAGGGGGGAAGCUUACGAAAGGGGAGAAGGGCAAGCGGGACAACGCCGCGUGGGGGAAAGAGUUUCUGGGUUCGGAAAAUUUUUUUUUUAGGAAAGAAAAAAUGUUAAAGUAAUUGAGGCGGUUUGACGGGAACCAAAUAAGAAACCCCGGCUUAAUAAGUG
This 496-nucleotide ribosomal RNA is filed under the name uncultured bacterium. RNAcentral's name for it is "partial 16S ribosomal RNA". It matches the Rfam family "Bacterial small subunit ribosomal RNA", at positions 28 to 507 of the family's 1533-position model. The record is from RNAcentral.